GAGCAGGGAUUUAAAUUUAGCAGUCACUUCUGGGAAUAUUCUUGAGAUAGUUAAUAUUUAGCUUAAUUUCCUCAUCUGGUUUUUCUGCUUGUGGUUUCUUCUUCUCUGCAAUCCCUCUUGCACUGGCCAAUCGGAUCAUUCUCCAACACAGUUCUUACAGUGGCUACUACAUCAGGUGCACUCUCUUCUUCCUGGCAGGAAUAUUUUAGAAGGCUUUACCAAGAAUGUGGAAUUACACUAUGGCUUUAAGAAUUUGGCCAGAAAGAGGUCAGAGGAGGACAGAGCAAACUUCAGAAAUAGACAAGGUCUUACUCUGCUACCCAAGCUGGAGUGCAAUGGUAUGAUCAUAGCUUACUACAGCAUUGAACUUCUGGAUUCAAGAGAUUCCCCCACGUUGGCCACCCAAGUAGCUGGAACUACAGGCAUGUACCAUCACACCCAGCUUAUAUAUGUAUAUAAUUAUUUUUGGACAUACAGGAUCUCACUACAUUGCCCAAGCUGCUCUCAAACUCCUGGCCUCAAGAUGAUCCUUCUGCUUCUGCCUCUCAAAGUGCUGGGAUUAUAGGCAUAAACCACCAUGCUCAGUCCAAUGUUUUUAAUAUCAGAUACUCUUUAGUAUCUUUAAGAUUUUAUACACUGUGUAUGCAUUAGUUAAUUAUUAAAUUUUAAAGAAGUAAAUUAUAUGGAUAAAAGUAUAUCCACAUAUACCAAUUAAGAGACAAAGAUUAGCAGAACAUAUUAAAAACAUGACUCAAUUACCUGCUGUCUACAAGGAACUUACUUCAAAUAUUUGAAAUAAAUAUAACAAGUAAAUGGAUAGAAAAAGACAUAUUAUGUAAAAGUUAAUCAAAAGAAAGUGGGAAUAGUUAUAUUAAUAUCAGAUAAAAUAGACUUAUGAGCAGAGAAAUUUACCAGAUACAGAGUGACAUUACACAAUAUUUUUUAAAAUUUAUUAUUAUUAUUAUUUUAGAGAUAGCAUAUUACUCUGUCACUCAGGCUGGAGUGCAGUGGCAUGAUCAUAGCUCACUAUAGCCUUCAACUCCUGGCCUGAAGCAAUCCUCCUGCCUCAGCCGCUGGAGUAGCUAGGACUACGGGUGUGCACCACCAUGCCCGGCUAAUUUAUUUUAUUUUUUGUAGAGAUGGGAUAUUACCUUGUUGCCCAGGCUGGUCUCAAAUACCUGGCCUCAAGCAGUCCUCCUACCUUGGCCUCCAAAAGCACUGGGAUUACAGGCAUGGAUCAUUGUCUGAGCCUGGCCCUACAUAAUGUUAGAAGGGUGACUCUACCAAGAGAACAUAGAAGUCGUAAAUGUGUGUACAAAAAGCAACAGAGUUAUGAAAUAUCUGAAACAAAAACUGGUGAAACUGAAAAGAGAAAUAGACAAGUCUACAAUUACAGUUGUAAACUUCAAUAGCCCUCUUUCAACAAUUGAUAUAAUAACUAGGCAGAAAAUCAGCAAGAAUAUAGAAAACUCAACAACACUAUCAACCAAUAGGAUCUAAUUGACAUUUAUGGAACACUCCACCAGACAAACAGCAGAAUACACAUUCUUCUCAAGAGCCCAUGGAACCUAUACUGAGAUAGAUCAUAUCCUAGACCAUAAAACAAACCUCAACAAAUUUAAAGGAUUGAAACCAUACAAAGUGUGUUCUCUGACUACAAAGGAAGAAAACUAGAAAUCAACAACAGAAUGAUAAACAAUGCAUUUCUAAAUAAUCCAUGGAUCAAAGAGGAAGUUCCAAAAGAACUGAAUAAAAAUGAAAGUACAGCAUAUAAAAAUUUGUGGGACACAGCUAAAGCAGUGCUUAGAGGGAAAUUUACAGCAUUAAAUGCUUACAUUAGAACAGAGAAACAGUCUGAAAUCAGUAACCUAAACUCCUACCUCAAGAACCUAGACAAAGAAAAGAAAAAUGAACACAAAAUAAAUAGAAGAAAAUAAAAUUCAGAAAUCAUUAAUCACAAAUUAAUGUGAAACCAGAAAAACAAUACAAAAAAUCAAUAAAACUAAAACCUCACCCUUUGAGAAGAUCAAUUACAUUGACAAAACUCUAGCAAGACUGACAAAGGGAAAAAAAAGAAAAUCCACAAAUUACCAAUACUAAUACAACAGGGAAUAUCAUGACAGAUCCUGCAGAUAUUAAAAAGAUAAUAUGGGAAUACUGUGGCAAUUCUACAUGCAAAACUCUAGCAAUUUUGAUGAAAUAGGCCAAUUCCUUGAAAAUCACAAAGUACAACAACUAAUUCAGAACGAAAUAAUUUGUGUAGUACAAUAACUAUUAAGAAAAUUGAAUUCAUAAUCUUAAAGUUCUCCCAAAAUAAAUUAUCAGGCCCAGAUGAUUUCACUGGAGAAUUAUUCCCAAUGUUUACAGAAGAAUUAACACCAACUUUACACACUUUCCUCCAGAAAAUAUAAGAUAACAUGCCUAAUUCAUUUUAUGAAGCUAUUAUUACCCUGAUAUCAAAAUCAUAGGGAGAUAGUACAAAAAAAGAAAAUCAUUAGCCAAUAUCACUCAUGAAAAUACAUGUAAAAGUUCUUAAGAAUAUAUAAGCAAAUAGAAUUCAAUAAUAUUUUAGAGAAAUUAAGUAUAUUCCAUGACAAAGUGGGCUAAUUUCAGGGAUGUAAGGUUAGUUCAAUAUUUGAAAAUCAAUCAGUGUAAUCCACCAUUUAACAGACUAAAGAAAAAUAUCACAUGAUCAUUCCACUUGAGAAUGAGCACUUGAAAAAAUUCAACACUAAUUCAUACCAAAAGCUCUCAGAAAACUAGAAAUAGAAGUGAAUUUCCUCAACUGGUUAAAGCCACUAUUAUACUUAAUGAUGAAAAAUUUAACGCUUUCCCUCAAAGAUCAGAAAUAAAACAAAGACAUCUGCUUUUAUCACUCUUACUCACCCAUAUUACUGGAAGUUCUAUUCAAUACAAUAUAUCAAGAAAAGGAAAUAAAAAUUACAUUGAUUAGGAAGAAAGAAACAAGACUAAUUCUAUUUGUAGGUAUAAUUGCCUACACAAAAGUUCCUAAGGAAUCUACAAGAAAUCUCCUAAAAAUACUAAGUGAGUUCAACAAGGUCAUAGGAUAGAAAAUGAACAUACAAAAAUGGAUUCUAUUUCAUUAUACUAGCAAUGAACACAUAAACACCAAAAUUAAAAAUACAACUUACAAUCACUCAAAAAAUGAAGUACUUGAAUGUAAAUUCAACAAAACAUAAACAGUAUUUAUGUGCUGAAAGUUACAAAAUGCCGAUGAAGGAAAUAAAAAAAAUCUAAAUAGAGAGACAGGCUGUAUUUAAUGACUGGUAGACUCAACAUAUUAAGGAUAUUAAUUUUCCCUAAAUAGAUAUAUAGGUUUAAUCCAAUUCCUUUCAAAAUCCCAGGCAGAAUUUCUGUAGAUAUGGGCAACAUCUUUCUAACAUUUAUAUAAAAAAGUAAAGGAAGAAAAACAGCUUUAAAUUUUUUAAUAAAGUGAAAGAAAUCAGUCUUUUUAAUUUCAAGACUUAUUAUGUAGCUAUAGUAAUCAAAAUUGUAUAAUAUUGGUAGAAGGGCAGACACAUAUAUCAGUGGAACUGAACAGAAAACCCAGAAAUAGAGCCAAACAAAUAUGCCUAACUGACUUUUGAUGAAGGUGCAAAAGCAAUUCAAUGGAGGAAGAACAGCCUUUUCAAUAUAUGGCACUGGAGCAAUUGCACAUCUACGGGAAAAUAAAUAAAUAUGAACCUCAACAUACACCUCACAUUUUAUUACACAUAAAAAUUAACCCAAAAUGGAUUGCAGACUAAAGUGUAAUUUGCAAAACUGUUUUGCAUUCUGUGUUAGAAAAAAAUUGGAUGAAAAUUUUGGGAUUGAGUUGUAGGCAAAGAAUUCUUAGAUUUGUGCUCUCUUUGGCAGCACAUAUACUAAAACUGGAAUGAUACAGAGAAGAUUAGCAUGGCCCUUGAACAAGGAUGACACACAUAUUCAUGAGGCGUUCCAUAAUUUUCAAAAUAGACCCAGCUGAGGAAUGACUCUCAGAGUUCAAAGACUGGUUGUCUGAACUGACUCAGUCAGACAAAUAUAAAGAAAAGACAAUAUCUUAAUGAAAAAAAAAACCUCUGAGAAUUAUGGGAUUACAUAAAUAGACCAAAUCUAUGACUCAUUGGCAUCCCUGAAAGAGAGAGAGAAAAUAAGCAACUUGGAAACAUAUUUGAGUAUAUCAUCCAUGAAAAUUUCCCCAACCUUACUACAGAGGCCAAUAUUUAAAUUCAGAAAAUGUAAAAAAUGCCUGUGAGAUACUGUACAAGACAACCACCCCCAAGACACACAGUCUUCAGAUUUUCCAAGACUGACAUAAAAGGAAAAAUAUAAAGGAAGAUAGAAGGGGAAGGUCACCUACAAAGGGAAAUUUGACAGGCUAAUAAUGGACUUUUCAGCAGAAAUCCUACAUGCCAGAAGAGAUUGGGUGGGGUGGGCGGGGGGUGCGGUUAUAUUCAAUAUUCUUAAAGAAAAGAAACUCCAAUAAAAAAUUUCAUAUCCAGCCAAACUAAACUUCAUAUGUAAAGGAGAAAUAAGAUUCUUUUCAGACAAGCAAACACUAAAGGAAUUAAUUAUCACCAGACCUGCCUUACAAGAGGUCCUUAAGGGAGUGCUAAAUAUGGAAACAAAAGACUUACUGGCCACUAAAAAAA
RNAcentral lists this long non-coding RNA (4652 nucleotides) under Homo sapiens (human). The record is from RNAcentral. Lineage: Eukaryota; Metazoa; Chordata; Mammalia; Primates; Hominidae.